UACGUAGGUCCCGAGCGUUGUCCGGAUUUAUUGGGCGUAAAGCGAGCGCAGGAGGUUUAUUAAGUCUGGUGUAAAAGGCAGUGGCUCAACCAUUGUAUGCAUUGGAAACUGUUAGACUUGAGUGCAGUAGAGGAGAGUGGAAUUCCAUGUGUAGCGGUGAAAUGCGUAGAUAUAUGGAGGAACACCUGAGGCGAAGGCGGCCAUCUGGCUGGUAACUGACGCUGAGGUGCGAGAGCGUGGGGAGCAAACAGG
Molecule: ribosomal RNA, 252 nt
Filed under: uncultured microorganism
Description: partial 16S ribosomal RNA
Rfam family: Bacterial small subunit ribosomal RNA
Source: RNAcentral